ACCCAGACUCCUACGGGAGGCAGCAGUGGGGAAUAUUGCACAAUGGGGGAAACCCUGAUGCAGCGACGCCGCGUGAGUGAAGAAGUAAUUCGUUAUGUAAAGCUCUAUCAGCAGGGAAGAAAAUGACGGUACCUGACUAAGAAGCCCCGGCUAACUACGUGCCAGCAGCCGCGGUAAUACGUAGGGGGCAAGCGUUAUCCGGAUUUACUGGGCGUAAAGGGAGCGUAGACGGCAGUGCAAGUCCGGAGUGAAAGCCCGGGGCUCAACCCUGGGACUGCUCUGGAAACUGUAAAGCUGGAGUGCGGGAGGGGCAGGCGGAAUUCCUGGUGUAGCGGUGAAAUGCGUAGAUAUCAGGAGGAACACCGGCGGCGAAGGCGGCCUGCUGGACCGUAACUGACGUUGAGGCUCGAAAGCGUGGGGAGCAAACAGGAUUAGAUACCCGGGUACAG
Molecule: ribosomal RNA, 449 nt
Filed under: uncultured bacterium
Lineage: Bacteria
Description: bacterial SSU rRNA
Rfam family: Bacterial small subunit ribosomal RNA
Source: RNAcentral